GUGUCAGCCGCCGCGGUAAGACGAACCGUGCGAACGUUGUUCGGAUUCACUGGGCUUAAAGGGCGCGUAGGCGGCUUGCCAAGUCAGGGGUGAAAUCCUCCGGCUUAACCGGAGAAGUGCUUUUGAUACUGGCGAGCUUGAGGGAGGUAGGGGCAGGCGGAACUUCCGGUGGAGCGGUGAAAUGCGUAGAUAUCGGAAGGAACGCCGGUGGCGAAAGCGGCCUGCUGGACCUCUUCUGACGCUGAGGCGCGAAAGCCAGGGGAGCGAACGGGAUUAGAAACCCGCGUAGUCC
RNAcentral lists this ribosomal RNA (292 nucleotides) under uncultured bacterium. RNAcentral's name for it is "partial 16S ribosomal RNA". It matches the Rfam family "Bacterial small subunit ribosomal RNA", at positions 505 to 796 of the family's 1533-position model. The record is from RNAcentral.